AUUGAACGCUGGCGGCAGGCCUAACACAUGCAAGUCGAGCGGAUGAAGGGAGCUUGCUCCUGGAUUCAGCGGCGGACGGGUGAGUAAUGCCUAGGAAUCUGCCUGGUAGUGGGGGAUAACGUCCGGAAACGGGCGCUAAUACCGCAUACGUCCUGAGGGAGAAAGUGGGGGAUCUUCGGACCUCACGCUAUCAGAUGAGCCUAGGUCGGAUUAGCUAGUUGGUGGGGUAAAGGCCUACCAAGGCGACGAUCCGUAACUGGUCUGAGAGGAUGAUCAGUCACACUGGAACUGAGACACGGUCCAGACUCCUACGGGAGGCAGCAGUGGGGAAUAUUGGACAAUGGGCGAAAGCCUGAUCCAGCCAUGCCGCGUGUGAAGAAGGUCUUCGGAUUGUAAAGCACUUUAAGUUGGGAGGAAGGGCAGUAAGUUAAUACCUUGCUGUUUUGACGUUACCGACAGAAUAAGCACCGGCUAACUUCGUG
RNAcentral lists this ribosomal RNA (482 nucleotides) under uncultured bacterium. RNAcentral's name for it is "partial 16S ribosomal RNA". It matches the Rfam family "Bacterial small subunit ribosomal RNA", at positions 30 to 507 of the family's 1533-position model. The record is from RNAcentral.